GGUGAACGCUGGCGGCGGGCCUAAUACAUGCAAGUCGAGCGAACCUACCGGGAGUUUUCUCCUAUGGGUUUGUCACCCGUCGGAACGUUCCCAUAGGUUCGGCCUAACUCUGGGACUCUGGUGCUAUCACCAAAUCGGCGCUACUGGGGAAAGAUUUAUCGCCUUUAGAGGGGCCCGCGUCGGAUUAGCUAUUUGGUUCAGGUAUUGGCUCACCAAGGCCACGAUAAGUAGCUGGUCUGGGAGGAUGAUCAGCCACAUUGGGACUGAGACACGGCCCAAACUCCUACGGGAGGCAGCAGUGGGGAAUCUUGCGCAAUGGGCGAAAGCCUGACGCAGCCAUGCCGCGUGAAUGAUGAAGGUCUUAGGAUUGUAAAAUUCUUUCACCGGGGACGAUAAUGACGGUACCCGGAGAAGAAGCCCCGGCUAACUUCGUG
Molecule: ribosomal RNA, 434 nt
Filed under: uncultured bacterium
Lineage: Bacteria
Description: partial 16S ribosomal RNA
Rfam family: Bacterial small subunit ribosomal RNA
Source: RNAcentral